Lycium barbarum (goji berry) is the source of this 874-nucleotide long non-coding RNA. RefSeq lists it as uncharacterized. The record is from RefSeq and is a predicted model, not a curated record. The transcript has 7 exons. NCBI's taxonomy places the organism in Eukaryota, Viridiplantae, Streptophyta, Magnoliopsida, Solanales, Solanaceae.
CAAGUGGCUAGCUACUUCUUUUCUGUUCAUUUGUCUUCCCCAUCGAAGAGUUACACAGUAAGGAAGCAAGUGAUUGAUUGUGGUCAAAAGACAUGUCCAGAUAUUAGUAUCAUGCCCACUUAAUGUGUGAUGCUCUGGUGUUGGAGGAACAGUUAUGCUAAACAUGUGUUCUUCCAACUGGAAACAUGCCAAACUGCGCAAUUGUUACAUAUUCCUGAUGAUCUUAUGGAGCAUUUACACAUUUGGACCUUCAAAGCUCCUCUGUUUUCAAAUAUCUAGGAAUGAUCUUGGAUUACAGAGAAACUGAAGCUCUUGAAAUCAUGAAGAGUGAUGUUAUAGCUGUCUCGUCCGGUAGUGGGAUGGUCAUUGGGAACUAUGGAGGAUUAACUAGCAAGGAUGCUAUGCUGGUUAUUUAAGGUUUUUUGCUGCCCCAGUGCUCCAGAUUUACAACCCAGUUAGAUCCCUGAUUGAGGUAGGAUUUGGUGCAGACAAGAGAUCUGAUGUUCGGCUAUAUUAUGGUGCACAGAAUUUGAAGAGAAUGGCAUACCAGGAUAGGUUUGAGAACUGGGCAUCCUCUGGGGUUAAGGUUGUGCUGGUAUUGUCUCAGCCUGAUGAUGGUUGGACAGGCGAACAUAGCUAUGUUCAGGUAUUGAUCUUUCUUCAACUAAAGCAAAAGCAACAAGCAGAAAGACAUAUUUUGGCAUGCUUAUCCCAUUUAAAGUUCAAUUGCUAUCAAUUAAUUAAUUUUAUUAAGCUUCCUUUUAUUUUGUGCUUGUUGCCAUUUUAUUCUUAUAAGAUCAUAUUUUUAACUUAUUGUAGCUUCAUAAUUAUCUCUUUCUAAAUUAUCGGAUUGUGAAGUACAGUUAAAUCGGAA